This is a long non-coding RNA of Bos taurus (domestic cattle), 833 nucleotides long. The record is from Ensembl. NCBI's taxonomy places the organism in Eukaryota, Metazoa, Chordata, Mammalia, Artiodactyla, Bovidae.
CUGAAAGGCAAGGAGUAGAAUGGGGCCCGCUUUUCGGGUCUACUUCUUACUCCCAGGCCACAUCAAAACAACAAUGCAGAAAUGCUGAAAGCUCCAGCUUCGGCACCACCUGAGAGCUUGUUAGAAAUGCAGGAUUUCAGGCUCCGCCCCAGGUCUAUUGAAUUAGAACAUGCAUUUUAACAAGACCUCAGCUGAUUCGGUUUGCUCGGUAACCCCAGAGAUCAGAGCGGCUGCCCUGCACUGGUUUGGUCUAUGUUGCCACCUUGAAGAAGGUGUGGGAGUUUUCUGCCAGCAUCGUAUCUUUCUCCUGGAGACCAGGAAAGACUUGUGAUGACCCAGGAUCUGGCAAAGUCCCUGCCACUCAGAGGCGAUUCAUGUUUUCACCAGUGAUGCCGCCAGCUGACAGCCACCUUCAACUGCUAGACAGACGAGCCUUCAGAUGAUUCCAGCCUCCAGCCUUCAAGUCCUCUAGCUGAGGCCUGCAACACUGAAGGGCAGAGACAAGGGCACAGAGUUGUUCUACAUUUUCCAGCCUCCCUUGCAGUUUCUUGGUAGCUAAGUAUUGGCGGUGAAGUAACUGAAUUCUAGCUGAAGAAAUGAGCUUGGGCGUGAUGUGUUCCACUUCCAAGUCUGACCCAAGACCUUCAUGCUCUCUCCCCCACUGCCGACCUGAUGCAGAUGUAUGUGGCGGCUUGAAGUCACAUAUUGAGGCUGGUGGAACCACAGGAUGGAAGGAGUGUAGGUUCCUGAAUCCCUGCUUGGAGGAAAGCCAGCUGCUCAGCAGACUUUCGUGCAACUUUAGAUUGUACACGAGGAAGAAAUAAACUUUGACU